This 650-nucleotide long non-coding RNA is filed under the name Paramuricea clavata. Lineage: Eukaryota; Metazoa; Cnidaria; Anthozoa; Malacalcyonacea; Plexauridae. The record is from RNAcentral.
UUGUAGAAAGAGAUCUACUUGAGUGGUUGGCUGGUCUUGAACCUGGUCAGCAUGGAUAUGGUAAUGAAGGUGAUAGGGCAGAAAGUGGUGACCAGUUAAGUGAUGAGGAUGAAAGUGACGAGGGCGAAAUCACCCAUGCUGUACCAUUCAAGUGCAUUGGUGCUGCUCAUGAGAAAAAUUACCAACAUCAACAGCAUACCUUGCUCUUCAUGGACAAGAUAAACCAGUGAAUGUAAGAAUAUGGCCAGAGCCAUUGAAUCCAAUGGACCCAAGUGCAAUUGCAAUUGAUGUAGACUAUGGAACUGGAUGGACACACAUUGGUUAUCUUGCUUCUCAACUAUGCGAGUAUUUGCACUCACUAAUUGCCACAGGAGAUAUGUUAGAGGUCUAUGUUCAGCAUAUCAAGUAUAGGGUUAACUUUUUUAAAAUAGGAUUUUAUCAAAAAAUUUUCAUAAAGCGACGUGGUGAGUGGGAGACUCAAGUGGUAAGAAAGAGCACAAGUGUACGUUGACAGAUGUUUGUGAUAUAAUUGUAACUGACUAGAUUUAGCAAGUUAUAGAAAUGAUCUUAUUUCAAUUAGGUAACUUUUUAGAUUUUCAUAAACAAAAACUAGGUUAAUCAUAAGUGGGUGUGCACAAUUAAAAUAAAAC